Molecule: long non-coding RNA, 1858 nt
Organism: Odontomachus brunneus
Lineage: Eukaryota; Metazoa; Arthropoda; Insecta; Hymenoptera; Formicidae
Exons: 4
Source: RefSeq, a predicted model, not a curated record
UUUUUUUAUGACCGCCAUUUUCUUAAAAAUCGAAAUUUCGUAAAAUCCCUACGUACAGACUUAAAACAUAUUGUUAUUAAUAAGAAAAAAUUUAGAUUUUUGUUCUAUGAGCCACGUAGAAGAAGGAAUUUGACACGCAGACUGACGGUGUUCCUCAAAAGCCGUAUACUUUGGCCCCACCUACAAGAGGUUAUUUUUUACUUUUUCGACAUUAAAAAAUUUUUUAUUGCAGCUUAAGAUUGUCUUAAUGAAUGGCUAAAACCGAUUUUCUUUCUGCGCAUUUUUUGUAUGAAAAAAAAAAUCAUGAAAAACGUCUCCAAAAUUGCAAUCAAAGGUGGUAUCCUGCCUUAACUCUCGUUAGGAUUAAAACAUAUGGUGUAUAUCACCAUAUUUACCUCGCAGCAAAGUACUUAAUAACGCUAAUAAAUAACAGUCUGGAGGCAGGUUCGUGCGAUAUGAGGGACUGUUUAAUAUUUCGGACCAAUAUCAAUCGGUCCUUAUCUGUAUGCGCGAUUGUUGCACGCAUAAUCGCCGAGUGUUUAUUGGCAGUUUCCAUAAAUUUGAAUUUAACUAGAAUCCAUUUCAUGCGUGCGCCUUACAAUUCAUACUAACCUCAUACUACAAUUCGACUCCAAUCUCGCUGUGAUUAAAUGACGUUCACGUUCGCGAAUUUAACGGAUGGCGAUGGUGAAAAACGCGCGAAAUCGCCAUACAGUAACACGAGAACAAGUGCCAAUUUUCCUGGUGUACGGUUUUAAAGAUAUUAGGUUACCACUUUUGAGUUUCAUAUUUGUUUUGUGCCUUUACGCCUCAACUGAGUACUUCACUUCACAGGUAGACAGAGAGCUGUUAAAAUUUGAUCGAACAAUAUACUAUGUUCCAUAUCGCUGAAACACGUCUGCCUGGAAUGGAUUGAGGUUUGUCGCGCGACUGAAAUCGGCCGCUGAAUUGCAGUCUCGAGAUGGAAACUUGGUGCAGCUGUGAUGUAUGACCAGUUUCACAAAAAAAGAAGAAAGAAAAUAAGAGAAAAAGCGGUCGUUCCAGGCGAAUCUAAUUCCCGGGAUUUCGAUGCUGUCAAAUAAAAACGGCUGGAAUAACACAGGUGCCGCGGCAGCAUGGGCAUUUAUAUCCUCCGGGCGGUUCUUCGCACGCCGCUCUCCACUCCCGGCGACCAGCGGUGGGAUCAGCGCGACGUUUUUCUCCGUUAUUCAUCACAACCUGCUCCGACUUUCUCCGAUCGUUAUGUAACAUGAGCCAGCUCCGACUGUCUCCACCAAUGGAGCUCAUGGAUCGUGCAAAUCACUCGGCUGUAAGGGCCUGCUCACACCUGGGAAUUGCUUGCGCCGCCCGCUCCAUAUACGCCGUACACGCCGUAAGAAACGCGUGCAACUGGAAGUCGUUGCGACAAACGUCGGCCGCGCCAGCCGUGCCGCGGUGCCGUGCAUUCCUGAAACAAGGUAGACCUCGUUCCGACGCUUAGCCAGCACGGGAUGCCAGGCGCUCCGGAUACCCGGCGUUACACGCUGACCCUGAGGGGGCAGCGCUUCUUUCUCGGCGAUAGCUGGCUGAAGCCGAGCCGAGAACUCGAAGAGAGUUGUGUUCGCAGACAACCGCAAAAUUUUCAAGAUGGUCAUCAUUUGCGUGCUCGCAAUACUGGCCUAACUUUAAUAUUAAAUUCAUUAAAACUCAUUAAAUUCAUUAAAAUAAUGUAUCAUAUCAAAAUUAAAUUGAUCAUCAUAUCAUAUCAUAUCAUAUCAUAUUAUAUCAUAUUAUAUCAAAUUAAAUUAGAACUUUGAUAUCAUAUUAAAUUGCAUAUCCAUUAAAAUGAUGUAUCACAUCCAUUUAAAUUUAAGAAAUA